RNAcentral lists this ribosomal RNA (406 nucleotides) under uncultured bacterium. RNAcentral describes it as "partial 16S ribosomal RNA". It matches the Rfam family "Bacterial small subunit ribosomal RNA", at positions 30 to 526 of the family's 1533-position model. The record is from RNAcentral.
AUUGAACGCUGGCGGCAGGCCUAACACAUGCAAGUCGAACGAGUGGCGGACGGGUGAGUAAUGUCUGGGAAACUGCCCGUUGGAGGGGGAUAACUACUGGAAACAGUAGCUAAUACCGCAUACCAUCGGAUGUGCCCAUAUGGGAUUAGCUAGUAGGUGGGGUAACGGCUCACCUAGGCCACGAUCCCUAGCUGGUCUGAGAGGAGGACCAGCCACAUUGGAACUGAGACACGGGCCAGACUCCUACGGGAGGCAGCAGUGGGGAAUAUUGGACAAUGGGGGCAAGCCUGAUGCAGCCAUGCCGAGCGUAUGAAGAAGGCCGUCGGGUUGUAAAGUACUUUCGGCGAGGAGGCGUUACUCGCAGAAGAAGCACCGGCUAACUCCGUGCCAGCAGCCGCGGUAAUAC